CCUAAGUAGCGGCGAGCGAACCGGGAACAGCCCAAACCCGGCAUGUGUUCAAGGCUGCACCCGUUGCAUGCCGGGGGUAGCGGGGCGCUUUUUCGGGCAAGGUGCGGCUUGCCCCGGGAGUUACAAAGGCACCGGUUAGGAGAACAGGCCUGGAAAGGCCGACCAGAGGGGGUAACAGUCCCGUAUCCGAAAGCCGGUACCCUCCCGAUAAGCGUUCCCAAGUACUGCGGGGCACGUGGAAUCCCGUAGGAAUCCAGGAGGACCACCUCCUAAGGCUAAAUACUCCUUGGCGACCGAUAGUGAACCAGUACCGUGAGGGAAAGGUGAAAAGCACCCCGGGAGGGGAGUGAAAGAGAACCUGAAACCGUAUGCCUACAAGCAGUCAGAGCCCUGCACUCAAUGGAGCUUUUGGGAGCUUUUAAGCCAAACCGGGCAGGUGCCCUAAAAGCACCAUCGAGUCUCGAAGGUUCCAUUGAGUGCGGGGUGAUGGCGUACUUUUUGUAGAACGGACCGGCGAGUUGCGCGGGGUAGCGAGGUUAAGGGCGAGAACCCGGAGCCGGAGCGAAAGCGAG
This 572-nucleotide ribosomal RNA is filed under the name Armatimonadota bacterium. RNAcentral's name for it is "partial 23S ribosomal RNA". It matches the Rfam family "Bacterial large subunit ribosomal RNA", at positions 238 to 681 of the family's 2925-position model. The record is from RNAcentral. Lineage: Bacteria; Bacillati; Armatimonadota.